CUGGUCAGGAUGAACGCUAGCGACAGGCCUAACACAUGCAAGUCGAGGGGCAGCACAAGGAGCAAUCUGAGGUGGCGACCGGCGCACGGGUGAGUAACACGUAUGCAACCUGCCUGUAAGCGGGGAAUAACCCGUUGAAAGACGGACUAAUACCGCAUAAUACUAAAUUACUGCAUGGUAAUUUAUUUAAACAUUUAUGGCUUACAGAUGGGCAUGCGCAUGAUUAGCUAGUUGGAGAGGUAACGGCUCCCCAAGGCAACGAUCAUUAGGGGUUCUGAGAGGAAGGUCCCCCACACUGGUACUGAGACACGGACCAGACUCCUACGGGAGGCAGCAGUGAGGAAUAUUGGUCAAUGGACGAGAGUCUGAACCAGCCAAGUCGCGUGCAGGAAGAAUGUCCUAUGGAUUGUAAACUGCUUUUGCAGGGGAAUAAAGUGCAUCACGUGUGAUGUUUUGUAUGUACUCUGCGAAUAAGGAUCGGCUAACUCCGUGCCAGCCGCCGC
Molecule: ribosomal RNA, 503 nt
Filed under: uncultured bacterium
Lineage: Bacteria
Description: bacterial SSU rRNA
Rfam family: Bacterial small subunit ribosomal RNA
Source: RNAcentral